UACGUAGGUGACGAGCGUUAUCCGGAAUUAUUGGGCGUAAAGCGCACGCAAGCGGUCUGUCAAGUCUGACGUGAAAUCUCUUGGCUUAACUGGGAGCGGUCGUUGGAAACUGAUAGGCUUGAGGCGAUGAGAGGGGUGCAGAAUUCCUGGUGUAGUGGUGGAAUGCGUAGAGAUCAGGAGGAAUACCUGUGGCGAAAGCGGCACCCGGGCGUCGUUUUGACGAUCAUGUGCGAAGGCGUGGGGAGCGAACGGG
This 253-nucleotide ribosomal RNA is filed under the name uncultured bacterium. RNAcentral describes it as "partial 16S ribosomal RNA". It matches the Rfam family "Bacterial small subunit ribosomal RNA", at positions 524 to 776 of the family's 1533-position model. The record is from RNAcentral.